Molecule: long non-coding RNA, 192 nt
Organism: Pseudopipra pipra
Lineage: Eukaryota; Metazoa; Chordata; Aves; Passeriformes; Pipridae
Exons: 2
Source: RefSeq, a predicted model, not a curated record
GCUGGGAGCUCAAUACUGCAGAGAAGAGGCAGUCUAGGAAUUUCCUGGAGCAUAUAGAGGACAAUUUCCUUUGUCAACUGGAAGUUUUGAGAGUUACACCAGGAUUGAACAGUGGAUGAAGACUAGAAGACAUUGCAACUGCUGCAAUAUACAUAAGUUUUAUGAUGCAGUUUUCUGUUACACUGUGAAUGA